This 308-nucleotide unclassified non-coding RNA is filed under the name uncultured fungus. RNAcentral's name for it is "partial contains 5.8S rRNA and ITS2". Lineage: Eukaryota; Fungi. The record is from RNAcentral.
AACGCAUAUUGCACUUCCUGGGUAACUGGGAAGUAUGUCUGUUUGAGUAUCAUUUACCAUCUCCUACUACUUGUUGUAGGAGGAAUUGGUUGUCACCUGAGUUCGACACAUUGAAUGAAGGUGCGUGCACUUUAAGCACAAGUCUGUCCUAAUUGAUGCAUAGCGUACCAGUCGCAUAAUCUUACCAUGCCAGGCGUAGUCGUAGGGAGGAUGGUACUAACGUGCAACCAGGCGGAUGGUCUUGAAAUAUCCAGAUGGAGCGCUUUUAACGUGAUCUCAAAUAAGACAAGAGUACCCGCUGAACUUAA